AUACGGAGGGUGCAAGCGUUAUUCGGAAUCACUGGGCGUAAAGGACGCGUAGGCGGGUUGGCAAGUCAGAUGUGAAAUCCUACAGCUUAACUGUAGAACUGCAUUUGAAACUGCUAACCUAGAGUAUGGGAGGGGGAGAUGGAAUUAGUGGUGUAGGGGUAAAAUCCGUAGAUAUCACUAGGAAUACCGAAAGCGAAGGCGAUCUCCUGAAACAUAACUGACGCUAAGGCGUGAAAGCGUGGGUAGCAAACAGGAUUAGAAACCCUAGUAGUCC
This 274-nucleotide ribosomal RNA is filed under the name uncultured bacterium. RNAcentral describes it as "partial 16S ribosomal RNA". It matches the Rfam family "Bacterial small subunit ribosomal RNA", at positions 523 to 796 of the family's 1533-position model. The record is from RNAcentral.